Molecule: ribosomal RNA, 390 nt
Filed under: Bolidophyceae sp.
Lineage: Eukaryota; Bolidophyceae
Description: partial small subunit ribosomal RNA
Rfam family: Eukaryotic small subunit ribosomal RNA
Source: RNAcentral
AUUCCAGCUCCAAUAGCGUAUAUUAAAGUUGUUGCAGUUAAAAAGCUCGUAGUUGGAUUUCUGGUGGGAGCGUUGGGUCGGCCCUAAGGGCUCGUACUCAAAUGUUUUCCGCCAUCCUUGGAGGGAUGUUGUCUGGCAUUAAGUUGUCGGGCUUCCGAUCUCCAUCGUUUACUGUGAAAAAAUUAGAGUGUUCAAAGCAGGCUUACGCCGUUGAAUACAUUAGCAUGGAAUAAUAAGAUAGGACCCUGGUACUAUUUUGUUGGUUUGCGUACCUAGGUAAUGAUUAAUAGGGACAGUCGGGGGCAUUUGUAUUCAAACGACAGAGGUGAAAUUCUUGGACCGUUUGAAGACAAACUACUGCGAAAGCAUUUGCCAAGAAUGUUUUCGUCA